RNAcentral lists this ribosomal RNA (276 nucleotides) under uncultured prokaryote. RNAcentral describes it as "partial 16S ribosomal RNA". It matches the Rfam family "Bacterial small subunit ribosomal RNA", at positions 524 to 798 of the family's 1533-position model. The record is from RNAcentral.
UACGGAGGUUCCAAGCGUUGUUUGGAAUUACUGGGCGUAAAGGGAGCGCAGGCGGACAAGUCAGUCUAAAGUGAAAUUCCGGGGCUCAACCUCGGACUUGCUUCGGAUACUACUUGUCUUGAGUUCGUGAUAGGAAGACGGAAUUCAGUGUGUAGCGGUGAAAUGCACAGAUAUCCUGAGGAACACCGGUGGCGAAAGCGGUCUUCUGGCGCGGAAACUGACGCUGAGGCUCGAAAGCGUGGGUAGCAAACGGGAUUAGAUACCCGCGUAGUCCCU